GACGUAGGGCGCGAGCGUUGUCCGGAUUUAUUGGGCGUAAAGAGCUCGUAGGCGGCUUGUCGCGUCGACCGUGAAAACUUGGGGCUCAACCCCAAGCCUGCGGUCGAUACGGGCAGGCUCGAGUUCGGUAGGGGAGACUGGAAUUCCUGGUGUAGCGGUGAAAUGCGCAGAUAUCAGGAGGAACACCGGUGGCGAAGGCGGGUCUCUGGGCAAUAACUGACGCUGAGGAGCGAAAGCGUGGGGAGCGAACAGG
RNAcentral lists this ribosomal RNA (253 nucleotides) under uncultured bacterium. RNAcentral's name for it is "partial 16S ribosomal RNA". It matches the Rfam family "Bacterial small subunit ribosomal RNA", at positions 524 to 776 of the family's 1533-position model. The record is from RNAcentral.